Molecule: ribosomal RNA, 732 nt
Filed under: uncultured Microgenomates group bacterium
Lineage: Bacteria
Description: bacterial SSU rRNA
Rfam family: Bacterial small subunit ribosomal RNA
Source: RNAcentral
UUUGGUAAGUAGCUGGUCAAAGAUCCCGGCUCAACCGGGAAAAGGCUGGUUAAACUACCAGACUAGAAGACUGUAGGGGAUGUUGGAACUCCACAAGUAGGAGUGAAAUCCGUUGAUAUGUGGAGGAACACCAAGGGCGAAGGCAGACAUCUGGACAGUUUUUGACGCUCAGGAACGAAAGCUAGGGGAGCGAAAGGGAUUAGAGACCCCUGUAGUCCUAGCCGUAAACAAUCCCCGCUAGAUAUGGGCGAAAUUUCGUCCGUGUCGUAAGCUAACGCGUUAAGCGGGGCGCCUGGGAAGUACGGUCGCAAGGCUAAAACUCAAAGGAAUUGACGGGGACCUGCACAACCAGUGGAGCAUGUGGUUCAAUUCGAAACGAAGCGAAGGACCUUACCUGGGCUUGACAUGCCAGCGUUCUAGGUCGAAGAAACUCGACCAAUUCGCAAGAAGGCUGGCACAGCUGCUGCAUGGCUGUCGUCAGCUCGUGCCGUGGGGUGUUCCCUUAAGUGGGGUAACGAGCGCAACCCUUGCCCCGUGUUAAAUAGUCACGGGGGACAGGGUCGAAUAUUUCGACCAGGAAGGAGAGGAUGACGUCAAGUCAGCACGGUGCUUAUGUCCAGGGCUACACACAUCCUACAAUGGGUAAGACAGCGGGUUGCCAAGCCGCAAGGCGGAGCUAAUCCCUUAAACUUACCCUAAGUUCGGAUUGUGGGCUGAAACUCGCCCACAUGA